UGGAUGGAUGGGGAUGAAAAUCUAGACCAACACCCACCCAUGGAUGGAUGGGGAUGGGGCGACGACGGCGGAGGCAGCGGCCUUCUCUCGGUGCUUGCUGAUGUGGUGGACAUCGACGUCGGUGAAGGGUUGCAGCACGCAGACAUCAAAGGCUGCGGGUGUGACGGAGGAGCACCAUGGCGGGCGUGCAGGCCAUGGCUCGCUAUGGAAGGCCCUUCCCUUCCCUCUCUCUAUUCGGGCCAUGCUCAGGCAGUCUUUUCUCUUCUCUUCCC
This is a long non-coding RNA of Triticum aestivum (bread wheat), 272 nucleotides long. RefSeq lists it as uncharacterized. The transcript is spliced from 2 exons. The record is from RefSeq and is a predicted model, not a curated record. NCBI's taxonomy places the organism in Eukaryota, Viridiplantae, Streptophyta, Magnoliopsida, Poales, Poaceae.